GCGGAUAAACGAGUUAGUUUGGUGUGUAGCCCGUAUUUACUGGGUUUCGGCGAUUUUCGGAAUUCGAGUCAACGCCGAGAAAUAUGCCAUCUUGAUGAUUUGUAAUCAUCAGGUGGCGGGUUCGAGUCCUGCAGCCGCACCA
Molecule: transfer RNA, 142 nt
Filed under: Burkholderia cenocepacia
Lineage: Bacteria; Pseudomonadati; Pseudomonadota; Betaproteobacteria; Burkholderiales; Burkholderiaceae
Description: tRNA-Ser
Source: RNAcentral